CCUACGGGAGGCAGCAGUGAGGAAUAUUGGUCAAUGGCCGGGAGGCUGAACCAGCCAAGUCGCGUGAGGGAAGACGGCCCUACGGGUUGUAAACCUCUUUUGUCAGGGAGCAAGGUGCAGGUCGGGACCUGCUGUGAGAGUACCCGAAGAAAAAGCAUCGGCUAACUCCGUGCCAGCAGCGGCGGUAAUACGGAGGAUGCGAGCGUUAGCCGGAUGUGUUGGGUUGGAAGGGUGCGCAGGCGGAGGCACAAGUGAGCGGUAAAAGCGCGGGGCGCAACCCCGCUCCGCCGUUGAAACUGGGUCGCUUGAGUGCGCGAAGGGUAGGCGGAAUGCGUGGUGUAGCGGUGAAAUGCAUAGAUAUCACGCAGAACUCCGAGCGCGAAGGCAGCCUACCGGGGCGCAACUGACGCUCAUGCACGAAAGCGUGGGUAUCGAACAGGAUUAGAUACCCUUGUAGUC
Molecule: ribosomal RNA, 459 nt
Filed under: uncultured bacterium
Lineage: Bacteria
Description: partial 16S ribosomal RNA
Rfam family: Bacterial small subunit ribosomal RNA
Source: RNAcentral